CAUUUCCAGUGGGGAGAGGGAGGGGAUCCUUUCCCUCUACACGGCACUGGUGAGGCCACACCUGGAGUGCUGGGUCCAGUUCUGGGUUCCUCAGUACAAGAGAAACAUGGACACACUGGAGACACAUCAGUGAGGGGCCACAAAUAUGGUGAUGGGACUGGAGCAUCUCUCCUCUGAGGAAAGGCUAAGAGAGCUGGGAGCACUGCUUA
Long non-coding RNA from Strigops habroptila (Kakapo), 209 nucleotides. RefSeq lists it as uncharacterized. The transcript is spliced from 3 exons. The record is from RefSeq and is a predicted model, not a curated record. Lineage: Eukaryota; Metazoa; Chordata; Aves; Psittaciformes; Psittacidae.